CCUACGGGAGGCAGCAGUGGGGAAUAUUGCACAAUGGGGGGAACCUUGAUGCAGCAACGCCGCGUGGGUGAAGAAGUACUCCGGUAUGUAAAGCCCUGUCAGCAGGGAAGAAAAUGACGGUACCUGACCAAGAAGCACCGGCUAACUCCGUGCCAGCAGCCGCGGUAAUACGGGGGGUGCAAGCGUUGUCCGGAUUCAUUGGGCGUAAAGAGUUCGUAGGCGGCACGUAAAGUCUGGUGUUAAAGGUAGUGGCUCAACUUCUGUACGGCACUGGAUACUUGCGAGCUAGAAUGCGGUAGAGGUAAACGGAAUUCGUGGUGUAGCGGUGAAAUGCUUAGAUAUCAGGAGGAACAUCGGUGGCGUAGGCGCUUUACUGGGCCGUAAUUGACGCUGAGGAACGAAAGCCAGGGUAGCAAAUGGGAUUAGAUACCCGAGUAGUC
RNAcentral lists this ribosomal RNA (440 nucleotides) under uncultured bacterium. RNAcentral describes it as "partial 16S ribosomal RNA". It matches the Rfam family "Bacterial small subunit ribosomal RNA", at positions 338 to 795 of the family's 1533-position model. The record is from RNAcentral.